This 370-nucleotide ribosomal RNA is filed under the name uncultured organism. RNAcentral's name for it is "bacterial SSU rRNA". It matches the Rfam family "Bacterial small subunit ribosomal RNA", at positions 526 to 896 of the family's 1533-position model. The record is from RNAcentral.
CGUAGGGUGCAGGCGUUAAUCGGAAUUACUGGGCGUAAAGCGUGCGCAGGCGGUUUCUUAAGUCAGAUGUGAAAGCCCCGGGCUUAACCUGGGAACUGCGUUUGAAACUGGGAGACUUGAGUGUGGCAGAGGGGGUGGAAUUCCACGUGUAGCAGUGAAAUGCGUAGAUAUGUGGAGGAACACCGAUGGCGAAGGCAGCCCCCUGGGUUAACACUGACGCUCAUGCACGAAAGCGUGGGGAGCAAACAGGAUUAGAUACCCUGGUAGUCCACGCCCUAAACUAUGUCAACUGGUUGUCGGGGGAUUAACUCCCUUGGUAACGAAGCUAACGCGUGAAGUUGACCGCCUGGGGAGUACGGCCGCAAGGUUA